UGGGGAAUAUUGCGCAAUGGGGGGAACCCUGACGCAGCCAUGCCGCGUGAAUGAAGAAGGCCUUAGGGUUGUAAAGUUCUUUCGGUAUUGAGGAAGGUUGAUGUGUUAAUAGCACAUCAAAUUGACGUUAAAUACAGAAGAAGCACCGGCUAACUCCGUGCCAGCAGCCGCGGUAAUACGGAGGGUGCGAGCGUUAAUCGGAAUAACUGGGCGUAAAGGGCACGCAGGCGGUUAUUUAAGUGAGGUGUGAAAGCCCCGGGCUUAACCUGGGAAUUGCAUUUCAGACUGGGUAACUAGAGUACUUUAGGGAGGGGUAGAAUUCCACGUGUAGCGGUGAAAUGCGUAGAGAUGUGGAGGAAUACCGAAGGCGAAGGCAGCCCCUUGGGAAUGUACUGGCGCUCAUGUGCGAAAGCGUGGGGAGCAAACAGGAUUAGAUACCCUGGUAGUCCACGCUGUAAACGCUGUCGAUUUGGGGGUUGGGGUUUAACUCUGGCGCCCGUAGCUAACGUGAUAAAUCGACCGCCUGGGGAGUACGGCCGCAAGGUUA
RNAcentral lists this ribosomal RNA (547 nucleotides) under uncultured bacterium. RNAcentral's name for it is "bacterial SSU rRNA". It matches the Rfam family "Bacterial small subunit ribosomal RNA", at positions 355 to 896 of the family's 1533-position model. The record is from RNAcentral.